RNAcentral lists this ribosomal RNA (486 nucleotides) under uncultured bacterium. RNAcentral's name for it is "bacterial SSU rRNA". It matches the Rfam family "Bacterial small subunit ribosomal RNA", at positions 30 to 507 of the family's 1533-position model. The record is from RNAcentral.
AUUGAACGCUGGCGGCAUGCUUUACACAUGCAAGUCGAACGGUAACAGGGAGCUUGCUCCGCUGACGAGUGGCGAACGGGUGGGUAAUGCAUCGGAACGUGCCGUGUAGUGGGAGAUAACGUAGCGAAAGUUACGCUAAUACCGCAUACGAUCUAAGGAUGAAAGCGGGGGACUCGCAAGAGCCUCGCGCGAUUGGAGCGGCCGAUAUCAGAUUAGGUAGUUGGUGAGGUAAAGGCUCACCAAGCCGACGAUCUGUAGCUGGUCUGAGAGGACGACCAGCCACACUGGGACUGAGACACGGCCCAGACUCCUACGGGAGGCAGCAGUGGGGAAUUUUGGACAAUGGGCGCAAGCCUGAUCCAGCAAUGCCGCGUGCAGGAUGAAGGCCUUCGGGUUGUAAACUGCUUUUGUACGGAACGAAACGGUGCUCACUAAUACUGGGUGCUAAUGACGGUACCGUAAGAAUAAGCACCGGCUAACUACGUG